This is a ribosomal RNA of 725 nucleotides. The stretch from base 330 to 483 matches the Rfam family "5.8S ribosomal RNA".
UUUUUCCAUUUAUUUACUAUUAUUUUAUUUUCAUUUUUUUUCUUUUAGCUUUGACUUAGUGAGUUUUGUUUUUUUUUUGAGGAAGUUAAAGUGUAACAAGGUUUCCGUAGGUGAACCUGCGGAAGGAUCAUUAACGAGUAACUGAACAGGUUUCCCCUGGCCUUUCGGCGCAUGUGCACGCCUGGCUCAUCCACUCUUCAACCUCUGUGCACUUGUUGUAGGUCGGUCGAAGGGUCACUGUGUAAACGGUGACUUGGAAGCCUUCCUAUGUUUUACUACAAACGCUUCAGUUUAAGAAUGUAAUCUCUGCGUAUAACGCAUUUAUAUACAACUUUCAGCAACGGAUCUCUUGGCUCUCGCAUCGAUGAAGAACGCAGCGAAAUGCGAUAAGUAAUGUGAAUUGCAGAAUUCAGUGAAUCAUCGAAUCUUUGAACGCACCUUGCGCUCCCUGGUAUUCCGGGGAGCAUGCCUGUUUGAGUGUCAUGGUAUUCUCAACCUUCAUAACUUUUUUGUUAUCGAAGGCUUGGACUUGGAGGCUUGUGCUGGCUUACUUGCUUAAGUCGGCUCCUCUUAAAUGUAUUAGCGUGAGUGUAACGGAUCGCUUCGGUGUGAUAAUUAUCUGCGCCGUGGUCGUGAAGUAACAUAAGCUUGCGCUUCUAACCGUCCUUCAGUUGGACAAUACACUUUGACAUCUGACCUCAAAUCAGGUAGAUUACCCAGCUCUU